GACGUAGGUGGCGAACGUUAUCCGGAAUUAUUGGGCGUAAAGGGUGCGUAGGUGGUCUGAUAAGUUAUCAGUGGCAAAUCGAGGCUCAACCUCGUGGAAACUGGUAAUACUGUCCGGCUUGAGUGCAGGAGAGGUUAAUGGAACUCUAUGUGGAGCGGUAAAAUGCACAGAUAUAUAGAAGAACAUCAAUAACGGCGAAGGCAGUUAACCAUUCUGUUACUGACACUGAGGCACGAAAGCGUGGGGAGCAAAACGG
Molecule: ribosomal RNA, 256 nt
Filed under: uncultured bacterium
Lineage: Bacteria
Description: partial 16S ribosomal RNA
Rfam family: Bacterial small subunit ribosomal RNA
Source: RNAcentral